RNAcentral lists this ribosomal RNA (503 nucleotides) under uncultured bacterium. RNAcentral's name for it is "partial 16S ribosomal RNA". It matches the Rfam family "Bacterial small subunit ribosomal RNA", at positions 30 to 523 of the family's 1533-position model. The record is from RNAcentral.
AUUGAACGCUGGCGGCAGGCUUAACACAUGCAAGUCGAGCGGGGUGAUGGUGCUUGCACUAUCACUUAGCGGCGGACGGGUGAGUAAUGCUUAGGAAUCUGCCUAUUAGUGGGGGACAACAUCUCGAAAGGGAUGCUAAUACCGCAUACGUCCUACGGGAGAAAGCAGGGGAUCACUUGUGACCUUGCGCUAAUAGAUGAGCCUAAGUCGGAUUAGCUAGUUGGUGGGGUAAAGGCCUACCAAGGCGACGAUCUGUAGCGGGUCUGAGAGGAUGAUCCGCCACACUGGGACUGAGACACGGCCCGGGCGCCUACGGGAGGCAGCAGUGGGGAAUAUUGGAAAAUGGGGGGAACCCUGAUCCAGCCAUGCCGCGUGUGUGAAGAAGGCCUUAUGGUUGUAAAGCACUUUAAGCGAGGAGGAGGCUCUUUUGGUUAAUACCCAAGAUGAGUGGACGUUACUCGCAGAAUAAGCACCGGCUAACUCUGUGCCAGCCGCCGCCGUAA